Pipistrellus kuhlii (Kuhl's pipistrelle) is the source of this 270-nucleotide long non-coding RNA. RefSeq lists it as uncharacterized. NCBI's taxonomy places the organism in Eukaryota, Metazoa, Chordata, Mammalia, Chiroptera, Vespertilionidae. The transcript is spliced from 3 exons. The record is from RefSeq and is a predicted model, not a curated record.
GACAUAAUCAGUGGACCUUCCCCAUAUGCCACAUGCGUCUAUUAAAAAAAAAAUGUUUUCCCUAAAGACAGCCCUGACCAACUUUAAAAUCAUUUUUCGUGAGAAUUUUCAGCUGAAAAUAUUCAAGGACACCCAAAUUGUGAGUAAUAUAUUUAUUUUUAUAAUAUUCAUUGCAAAUUGAUUAUUUAAAUGGAAUUCAAAAUAUUGUGGUGUGUGGGGAUGGCUUCCAUUUUGGACACAUUGCAGUUAACUGACCAAGUUAGCAAUUAU